GGGAUCCUCCUCGAGGAAUAGCGUGGUGCCACGUGGAUUGAAGGAGUUCCACAUGAGGGAGUCGUAUCCGAGGCCGAAGACGAGGAAGUUGCAAGGGGAUAUUUCUUUGAGGACGUUGAAGGACACGGUUAUUUCGGCAAGCGAUUGCUGGGGGACGAUUUUUGAGGUGGCAUAGUGUAGAAUGGCGCGGAGUUGGAUCGGCGUGGUGGUGUACUCGGCUACGUCUCGGGCUUUGGAGCUGGCCAGCGAACAGAAGAACGAGUUCUCGGCUGACCGGAUUAACGUCGAAAUCACUAGCGCUGCGGCGAUUAGUCCGGCGAUUGCGACCACCAGGAGUUUCUUUUUCUCCGGUUGAAACUGAGGGCUCUUCGUCAUUUCAAUUUGUGUCCUUUUUUUUUUUUGGAAAGAAAAUAAUAAUCGAGAUUAACUGCUGUACCGUACAUCCGCCUUGGCCGUACAGCAGGUAAAAGUUCAAAUAAUAAUAAUAAUAAAUAAAACAUAACAAUAAACAAACAACAAUCAGGGGGUGAUGAAACGCAACGCAGCGUUUCAGCAAAACCUAUCAUCGGCAUUGGUCGAGUUAGCCGCCGGUGGGAUUUCAAAGUGCCAGAUCCUCCCCACGGCGUCCUUCAAGUACUUUCUACACAAGAACUCCUCGGCGAAGGCCUUCUCCACUCUCCGAUCAACAUCGUGCAGGUACACGUGCGUCACACCGGAUCCUCUCCUCCGCCUGGCCAUAACCGCCGCCGAGAAUAUUGCUGCCAUCCGCCCCGGCGCCCGCGGGAAGUACCCGCGCGGAGCGUCGAUCAUGAUGAUGUCCCACUGCUGGUCGUAGACCUCGUCGGGGAGGCCGGUCAAGGCGAGCUUGCAGCCAACAUUGCCACGUAGGAAGGCUUUGGAGGGGGAGCAAAGGGGUUCUUUUUUGUAGGAGGAGAGGAGGGCGUCGGCUUCCGAGAGCUGAGUGCGGUACUGGACGGCGUGGGCAUUGAGUGUAGGGGCGUCCUUGAGGACGGACUGGACCCACUUGGGAUCCUCCUCGAGGAAUAGCGUGGUGCCACGUGGAUUGAAGGAGUUCCACAUGAGGGAGUCGUAUCCGAGGCCGAAGACGAGGAAGUUGCAAGGGGAUAUUUCUUUGAGGACGUUGAAGGACACGGUUAUUUCGGCAAGCGAUUGCUGGGGGACGAUUUUUGAGGUGGCAUAGUGUAGAAUGGCGCGGAGUUGGAUCGGCGUGGUGGUGUACUCGGCUACGUCUCGGGCUUUGGAGCUGGCCAGCGAACAGAAGAACGAGUUCUCGGCUGACCGGAUUAACGUCGAAAUCACUAGCGCUGCGGCGAUUAGUCCG
RNAcentral lists this long non-coding RNA (1342 nucleotides) under Citrus sinensis (sweet orange). Its description in RNAcentral is "long non-coding RNA (CSIN_LNC002890)". Lineage: Eukaryota; Viridiplantae; Streptophyta; Magnoliopsida; Sapindales; Rutaceae. The record is from RNAcentral.